RNAcentral lists this ribosomal RNA (405 nucleotides) under uncultured bacterium. RNAcentral's name for it is "partial 16S ribosomal RNA". It matches the Rfam family "Bacterial small subunit ribosomal RNA", at positions 30 to 526 of the family's 1533-position model. The record is from RNAcentral.
AUUGAACGCUGGCGGCAGGCUUAACACAUGCAAGUCGAACGAGUGGCGGACGGGUGAGUAAUACUUGGGAAUGUGGCUUGUGGAGGGGGAUAACUACGGGAAACUGUAGCUAAUACCGCAUACUAUCGGAUGAGCCCAUGUGGGAUUAGGUAGUUGGUGGGGUAAAGGCUCACCAAGGCCACGAUCUCUAGCUGGUCUGAGAGGAGGACCAGCCACACUGGGACUGAGAAACGGCCCAGACUCCUACGGGAGGCAGCAGUGGGGAAUAUUGCGCAAUGGGGGCAACCUGAUGCAGCCAUGCCGCGUGUAUGAAGAAGGCCUUCGGGUUGUAAAGUACUUUCGGUAGCGAGGCGUUACCUACAGAAGAAGCACCGGCUAACUCCGUGCCAGCAGCCGCGGUAAUUC